Molecule: non-coding RNA, 29 nt
Filed under: Rattus norvegicus (Norway rat)
Lineage: Eukaryota; Metazoa; Chordata; Mammalia; Rodentia; Muridae
Source: RNAcentral
UCUCAUCGCAAGGCUUCACAGUGUAUACA